Molecule: long non-coding RNA, 1486 nt
Filed under: Ursus americanus (American black bear)
Lineage: Eukaryota; Metazoa; Chordata; Mammalia; Carnivora; Ursidae
Description: lncRNA (ENSUAMG00000007950.1)
Source: RNAcentral
GUUUCCUGAGUCUGAAGCUGCUUUGAGCCUCUUCCUGAGGGCUGCUUUCCUUUUUCAAGCAUUUUUCAAGCGAGAGAACUUCUAUUAGCCUGUCUUGACCCUUUGUUGUUCUUCCAUUGCAUGGAUGGAGUGUGUCUGAGUUUCCUGCAGCAUCAGGAGAGGGAGACAGAGACACCAUGACUUCUACCAAGAUGCUGCUGCUCUUGCUGUCCAUGGCUUUGGUCGCCCUGUGCUCUGCUCAGGGCAUCAGUGAUGAUGAUGAAUUAUUGGAAGAGAGCCCAGAGGAAUUACAAGUCCAACCUCAAGAAGAAAAUGGAGAUCCAAGAGGCAAACCUGGGGACAAAGGCCAUGGUCCACCAAAGAAGCCUCAUAACCAGGGUGUCCAGGGAGUUCCCAAAGGCCCACAUGGCCCAGGUGGCCCUCAAGGACCAGGUAGCCAAAAAGGACCAGGUGGCCCACAAGGACCAGGUGGCCAAGGUCGUCCAGGCAGCCAGGGUCGUCCAGGUGGCCCACAGNCGGCCAGCGUCAUCCAGGUGGCCCCCAAGGCCCAGCUGGCCAACAAGGACCAGGUAGCCAACAAGGACCAGGUGGUCAAGGUCGUCCAGGUGGCCCACAAGGACCAGCUGGCCAACAGGUACCAGGUGGCCAAGGUCAUCGAGGUGGCCAACAAGGACCCGGUGGCAAAGGUGGUCCAGGUGGCCCACAAGGACCAGCCGGCCAACAAGGACCUGGGGGCCAAGGUGGUCCAGGAGGCCAACAAGGGCCAGGUGGCCCACAAGGACCAGCUGGCCAACAAGGACCAGAUGGACAAGGUCGUCCAGGUGGCCAACAAGGACCCGCUAGCCAACAAGGACCCGGUGGCCAAAAUGGUUCAGGUGGCCCACAAGGACCAGCUGGCCAACAAGGACCAGGUAGCCAACAAGGACCAGCUGGCCAACAGGGACCAGGGAGUCAACAAGUACCAGGUGGCCAAGGUCGUCCAGGUGGCCCACAAGGACCAGCUGGCCAACAGGGACCAGGUAACCAACAAGCACCAGGUGGCCAAGGUCGUCCAGGUGGCCCACAAGGACCCAGUAGCCAACAAGGACCCGGUGGCCAAGGUGGUCCUGGUGGUCCACAAGGACCAGCUGGCCAACAAGGACCUGGGGGCCAAGGUGGUCCAGGAGGCCAACAAGGACCAGCUGGCCAACAAGAACCAGCUGGCCAACAAGGACCAGGUGGCUCACAAGGACCAGCUGGACAACAAGGACCAGGUGGCCAAGGUCGUCCUGUUGGCCCUGUUGGCCCUGGUGGCCCUGGUGCCCAGAGAAACCAACAGGGAAGAGAUGAGCAGCGUGGUCAGCCUGGUGGCCAGUGACAAGGAAAACCAACUAAAGAGGACCUCCGCUGAUUCUCUAGAAAUGCAUAGAGAUCAAGUGGUGACCAUGGAGUUUUCAGUGGUGGGAACUUGGCCUUUCCUUUCUCCGACUUCAAAUCAUCAAUAAAG